CAAUAGGAUUUUUUCAAAUCUAUAAAACAUAUGUUUAAAUCCUCAU
Molecule: non-coding RNA, 46 nt
Organism: Myotis lucifugus (little brown bat)
Lineage: Eukaryota; Metazoa; Chordata; Mammalia; Chiroptera; Vespertilionidae
Source: Rfam